Molecule: small nuclear RNA, 104 nt
Filed under: Catagonus wagneri (Chacoan peccary)
Lineage: Eukaryota; Metazoa; Chordata; Mammalia; Artiodactyla; Tayassuidae
Source: RNAcentral
GCAGAGUGCUCGCUUCAGCAGCAAAAAUUGGAUCGAUACCUCGAAGAUUAGCAUGGCCCCUGCACAAGAGUGACAUGCAUAUUUGUGAAGCGUUCCACAUUUUU